Molecule: unclassified non-coding RNA, 858 nt
Filed under: Hevea brasiliensis (rubber tree)
Lineage: Eukaryota; Viridiplantae; Streptophyta; Magnoliopsida; Malpighiales; Euphorbiaceae
Source: RNAcentral
CCCCCAAGUUUCAGAUCUGUCAAAUUUCUGAAAUCAAACAACCAGGCCGGAAUCUCGCCACUGAGCUGAUUAUCUUCCAAGUUAAGCGUCUUCAAUUGUCGCAUCUUUUGCAUUGAAGGAGGAAUCUCUUCAACCAAAUCGUUGUCAUUUAGGAGCAUAUACGAAAUUUCUGAAAGGUUACCGAUCUGAGCUGGAAUCUGCUUUGAGAAAAAAUUAGAAUGUAAAUCCAACUGUUGCAAUUCUUUCAAACGGCAUAGCGAUGAUGGAAUUGCUCCAGUAAUUCUGUUAUUAGCAAGAGACAACACUUGCAAAUUGGUGAGGUUUCCCAAUGGAAAAAACUUCGAACUUUUCGUCGCCUCAAUAAAAGUUCUAUCCAAAGAAAGUAUCUCCAGAUGCUUUAAAGAAAACAACUCAGGAGGAAUGGAGCCAUCGAACAUAUUAUCGGACAUUUUAAGUUCAACAAUUUCUGUUAAAUUGGCAAACCCAAUUGCUGAAAUUUCUCCUUGUAUGUUGUUACUUGAAAUGUCAAGUGUCUCGAGCGUUCGAACAUGAAAGAGCGGAGUUAAAACAUGAGACGACAAAACAAUUUCUUCCGAGUUAUGAAAGAUAUUGCUGAGAUCAAGAUCAGUCACCUGUUGUUGUGGAGUGUUGGAAUUGCAACCGACUUCUUCCCACUGACAACAGUCUGUAGAAGAGGAGUUCCAAGUCUCUAAGAAAGUGAGAUUCUGGUGUGCAGGAACGCUUUCCAGUAAUAAGAGUUUGAAUUGGAGAAGGGCUUCUUUCUGAUAUUGAGGACAACAAAGUGACGGAAUGAGGAAGAUGAAUAACAAAGAAAAUGUUUGAAGAAAUGAAAGGAUC